UACGGGGGGGGCAAGCGUUGUUCGGAAUUACUGGGCGUAAAGGGCUCGUAGGCGGCCAACUAAGUCCGACGUGAAAUCCCAAGGCUUAACCUUGGAACUGCGUCGGAUACUGGAUGGCUUGAAUUCGGGAGAGGGAUGCAGAAUUCCAGGUGUAGCGGUGAAAUGCGUAGAUAUCUGGAGGAACACCGGUGGCGAAGGCGGCAUCCUGGACCGGUAUUGACGCUGAGGCGCGAAAGCUAGGGGAGCAAACGGG
RNAcentral lists this ribosomal RNA (253 nucleotides) under uncultured bacterium. RNAcentral's name for it is "partial 16S ribosomal RNA". It matches the Rfam family "Bacterial small subunit ribosomal RNA", at positions 524 to 776 of the family's 1533-position model. The record is from RNAcentral.